Molecule: ribosomal RNA, 469 nt
Filed under: uncultured bacterium
Lineage: Bacteria
Description: partial 16S ribosomal RNA
Rfam family: Bacterial small subunit ribosomal RNA
Source: RNAcentral
GACGAACGCUGGCGGCGUGCUUAACACAUGCAAGUCGAACGGAAAGGCCCUGCUUGCGGGGUGCUCGCGUGGCGAACGGGGGAGUAACACGUGGGUGAUCUGCCCCUUACUUUGGGAUAAGCCUGGGAAACUGGGUCUAGUACUGGAUAGGACCAUGCUGGAGGUGGGGUGGUGGAAAGAUUAGUUUCGGUAAGGGAUGAGCUCGCGGCCUAUCAGCUUGUUGGUGGGGUAAUGGCCUACCAAGGCGUCGACGGGUAGCCGGCCUGAGGGGGUGGUGGGCCACAUUGGGACUGAGAUACGGCGCAGACGCCUACGAGAGGCAGCAGUGGGGAGUAUUGCACAAUGGGCGCAAGCCCGAUGCAGCGACGCCGCGUGGGGGGUGACGGCCUUCGGGUUGUAAACUCCUUUCAGCCAUGACGAAGCCCUUGUGGUGACGGUAGUGGUAGAAGAAGCACCGGCUAACUACGUG